This 228-nucleotide ribosomal RNA is filed under the name uncultured bacterium. Its description in RNAcentral is "partial 16S ribosomal RNA". It matches the Rfam family "Bacterial small subunit ribosomal RNA", at positions 29 to 234 of the family's 1533-position model. The record is from RNAcentral.
AACGAACGCUGGCGGCGUGGAUUAGGCAUGCAAGUCGAACGGGAUCCAAACCUGUAGCAAUACAGGGUUGGUGAGAGUGGCGGAAGGGUGAGUAACGCGUGGGCAAUUUGCCUCUUAGUUAGGGAUAGCCUCCCGAAAGGGUGGAUAAUACCGGAUAUGGUCGUGCCGCGCAUGCGGCACUAUCCAAAGGCGGGGAUCUUCGGACCUGCCGCUAGGAGAUGAGCCCGC